Molecule: non-coding RNA, 369 nt
Organism: Suncus etruscus (white-toothed pygmy shrew)
Lineage: Eukaryota; Metazoa; Chordata; Mammalia; Eulipotyphla; Soricidae
Source: the annotation of a RefSeq genome assembly
GUGGACAUGAAUGCCCCUGUGCAGCUCGUCAGCUUCCUGCUACUUUGGGUCCCUGGUGCCAGGGGUGAUAUCCAGCUGACCCAGUCUCCAUCCAUGUCUGCAUCUCUGGGAGAGAAAGUCACCAUCACCUGCAAAGCCCAUCAGAAUAUUGGCAAGUAUUUGAAUUGGUAUCAGCAGAAACCCGGAGAAGCUCCUAGACUUCUGAUCUAUUAUGCAUCAAACUUGCAACCUGGGGCCCCGUCCGGAUUCAUUGGCAGUGGAUCUGGCACAGAUUUCACUCUCACCAUCAGCAGCCUAAAGUAUGAAGAUGCUGCCACUUAUUACUGUCAACAAUAUAGUAGUUACCCUCCCACAAUGAUACAGGGCUGA